UUUUUCUUUUGGCUAAUAAUGCUUCUGAGGUUUGGAUAAGUAACUAAGAGGAAGGAGAUCUCCUUCUAGUCCAUCCUGCUGCCGACAAUUAAGAAACCUCAAAGUAAUUUUUGAAAAUGUCAGCGUCUCAUUUAGCAAAAGGAUAAAUAAUAAAUGAAGCGUAAUCACUGUCCUGCGCUAGUGGUACAGCUUCGCGGUGUCAUUAGUAAACUAACGGUAUAAUAUCUUUGUGUCACAGUUUAAUUAUAUCUUGUAAUUAGUUUCAGCAAUGGAUUGCAUAGAGUCAGGCCCCCUGAGCUAAACAAAAGGUAAUAGAACUUUCAGCGCCCCUGCAUAAAUCAAUUAUGAAAGUGUCCUACGUUAUUUGAAGCUUGUUUGCUGUAAUUUUAUGCACAAAGCCCAACUGGACCUUCUUGCUUGUGGAGGGCUGUGCACCCAACCCCACACUCGUCUGCAGCUGAGCCUGUGGUCGGCCCACACGCAGCCUGGCCCACUGGUGCAUUUCUCAGGACCAGCUCAGCAGUCAAUACCAUGGAGGGGGUGAGGUGUUGAGGGGAGGGGAGGGGAGGUGGGGGAUGGGGGGCAGGGGACGCACGAGGACCGGAGCAGGUAAUAGAUGCGCCAUGUGCAAGAAAGCAGGGAAUCAAAUAGGAAAAGAUGUGAGGGCUUGGAAGAAUGAUUCUUUAUGCUUCCCUGAACAAAGAUGAGAAGGUUAGGAGCAUCAAAGGCCAAGCAACGUUGAUGAAUAUGGGCAGGCAGACGAGAUCCAUGUCCCUUUAUCAUUUUAUCCUUUCAACAUCCCCACUCUCCCCACGCGGUUGGAAUUGGAACCAGCACAGGUUACUUGGCAAUAGGGGAUGGGGAAGGAGAAUCCACAUCUUUAAUUGGGUCUAAUUCGGGUCCCACAGAGCUCAGAAACUGUAAAGGGCUUCCGAGCGUCGUUGAGGGCUAGCUGUGGUCACCAGGCCCAGACGGGAGAGUCACGAAGUCCCGCUGGGGGAAGCUAAGAAGAAACUCAGGGGCGGGGGGUUGGUUAAGUCCAAAUGCCACCAAUACGUGUGAUCAUCUCUUUUUGAUCAAACUGUAAGGCAUGGCAGAGAGUGGGGGUGGGGUCCACAUUCAAAGUCCUCAUCCAGUUGGCUUUGAAAGUAAGUCUAGUGCCACACUGGCCUUUCUGUUUAUACAACAAUUUAUAGGUUUAAACGAAACCCCGCUUGAAAAAGCAGACUGAAUCUUCCUAUUGUGAGCACUUCAGCAAAUUUAACAAAAGAAAGAGCCCAGGCGAAGGAGAGAGAGGAGAGAGAGAGAGAGAAAGGUCCAGUCCUCAGACUGGUGUGCUGCAAUCUGGCUGGUUGCUAUGGCGACGUGAUGGUUUGUUCACAUGGCAACAUACCUUAGGUCCACUAUUAAAAUGAUGAGAGUGAACUCGGUUGCAUUAAGGAGAGUGUGCUGUAUGCUAAAGCGAGUCUUUAUCUCCAGAGAGAGCUGGACAGAGACUGGCAUCCAGUACAAAUGAGGGAGAAAAGGAGGAGGUGGUAAAGGUUGGAGGUCUGGAAGAGGGA
Molecule: long non-coding RNA, 1562 nt
Filed under: Macaca fascicularis (crab-eating macaque)
Lineage: Eukaryota; Metazoa; Chordata; Mammalia; Primates; Cercopithecidae
Description: lncRNA (ENSMFAG00000059776.1)
Source: RNAcentral